UCCUUAUCCAGAGAGAGUGCAAAAUAAUCUGCGGCUCCAUGAAGCUCUCACAGUGCGCAAAAAUCCUCCAUGAAUCUUCUCAAGCUUCAAAUUCACCACCAUCUUACCAAACCUUCUCGACUUUCCAGAACCGUCCUUCCUUCCCUCUCCUCCGCUUUCUGUCCGCAUCGCUUUCCCUAUCUCUCUUCUGGUUCACCAACAUCCCUUUCUUGCGAUUUCACCGAUUCCAGAAAUGGACAUAUCAGGGCAUCAACUACCCAGACCCCAACGUGGAGCAGCAAAGAAGAAGAAAGCUCGGAUGAGAGAUAUGAGUACUUGGCGAAAGAUGGGGAGGUUUUUCAGAACACCCUGAGGCUUGUGGAGACUGCUAUGUUUGCUGCUGUUUCUGGGUUAGCCUAUCUCUUGAGCAAUUCUCUUGCAAUUGAGAAUUACUUUGGGUGUUUCUUUGCACUUCCCAUAGUAAUAUCCUCAAUAAGAUGGGGUGUUGUGGCUGGAAGAAAAACAAUGGUGGCAACCGUUGUGCUACUGUUUGUCCUGUCUGGUCCAGUGAAAGCAGUUAACUAUAUGCUUGGUGCAGCUAAUGCAUGGGUUACUUGGUUUUACCAUGGGUUCUUUAUGGAGGUUGCGCGCUAGUUGGACGCGAUCAAUCUUCUUGUGUGCACUUGCUCGGGCAAUUGGUGCUGUAGGGUAUGUGCUAUUAACCUCAUUUUUAAUAGGAGAAAACAUACUCCAGUUGAUUACCAUAAAUAUCCAUGCUUCCCUCUCAUAUGUGCUCACAUCCAUGGGCAGUAAUUCAAUUCCAACAAUGAAUGUCAUAUACACUAUUUUCGGGACUCUGCUUGUUAUCAACUCUGCUUUCUUCGUGUUAUUGCUACACAUUCUGUACGCGAUCUUCUUUGCCAAGUUUAGGAUGAAGGCUUCAUUGAGACUGCCAAAAUGGGUGGAUUUGGCAAUAUAACAGGGAACCCAAAUAUUUUCUUUUCAUUUUGCACAAUUGAUAGAUUAGAGAGAUUCAUAUGCACAAAACUACCAAGAAGGCCAUAUUUCUUUGGUCAAUUUUUUUUUUUUUUAUUACUGUAAUUACUAAAAUGCAAGUGUACACGAUCUUGAAGCCAGGGCAUCAAAUUAUCCUUGAUCACUUGUGCAGUUAUGUACUA
RNA transcript from Ipomoea nil (Japanese morning glory), 1157 nucleotides. RefSeq lists it as uncharacterized. Lineage: Eukaryota; Viridiplantae; Streptophyta; Magnoliopsida; Solanales; Convolvulaceae. The transcript has 9 exons. The record is from RefSeq and is a predicted model, not a curated record.